Danionella cerebrum is the source of this 122-nucleotide non-coding RNA. The record is from the annotation of a GenBank genome assembly. Lineage: Eukaryota; Metazoa; Chordata; Actinopteri; Cypriniformes; Danionidae.
GCCUGGUUAGCUCAGUCGGUGGAGCAUAAGUCUCUGGAGUUGCUCAAACUGAGAGGUAGGUGACAAUAAAUGAAAAGGUUGCAUGUCAGCCUGGGUCGUGGGUUCGAGCCCCAAGUUGGGCG